RNAcentral lists this ribosomal RNA (774 nucleotides) under uncultured Neocallimastigales. Its description in RNAcentral is "partial large subunit ribosomal RNA". It matches the Rfam family "Eukaryotic large subunit ribosomal RNA", at positions 24 to 634 of the family's 3401-position model. Lineage: Eukaryota; Fungi; Neocallimastigomycota; Neocallimastigomycetes; Neocallimastigales. The record is from RNAcentral.
UAUCUCUGUAGAGUCUGCAUAUCAAUAAGCGGAGGAAAAGAAACUAACAAGGAUUCCCCUAGUAACGGCGAGUGAAGCGGGAAGAGCUCAAAUUUGAAAUCUUCAAGGUUUGACCUUGACGAAUUGUAGUUUAAAGAAGUGUUUUCGGUUAGAGGAGUAGUAAAAGUUCUUUGGAAUAGGACAUCAUAGAGGGUGAGAAUCCCGUAUUUGACUAUUCUUUCUAGCUUUGUGAUACACUUUCAAAGAGUCGGAUUGUUUGGGAAUGCAGUCCAAAAUGGGUGGUAAAUUUCAUCUAAAGCUAAAUAUUGGCGAGAGACCGAUAGCGAACAAGUACCGUGAGGGAAAGAUGAAAAGAACUUUGAAAAGAGAGUUAAACAGUACGUGAAAUUGUCAAAAGGGAAGCGUUUGACACCAGUGUCGUUUUUCCGAAAAUCAAUUAAAAAUUGAUUCAUGCCAGGUUGUAUUGACCUUAUCAGCUUGCAAUUUGGUUUUGGGUCUCUUUUGGAUGCACUUUUCGGUUAACAAGUCAACAUCAAUUUCCUUUGCUGUAAAAAGGUAAGAGGAAGGUGGCUUCAAUUUCGGUUGAAGUGUUUAUAGCCUUUUAUCUCUGCAGUCGGGGAGAUUGAGGUCUGCAGCGUAGAUCCUUCGGGGCUAGAUACAUUUAUGCUAAGUUAUAGCUUUUCAUAGACAACUUGUUGACUAUGUUUAGUCAUGUAGCUUACUCGUAAGUGCUAUUUUACCUACGCUUAGGAUGUUGAAGACUCUACAGAGAUA